Molecule: transfer RNA, 74 nt
Filed under: Actinomycetota bacterium
Lineage: Bacteria; Bacillati; Actinomycetota
Description: tRNA-His
Rfam family: tRNA
About the family: Transfer RNA (tRNA) molecules are approximately 80 nucleotides in length. Their secondary structure includes four short double-helical elements and three loops (D, anti-codon, and T loops).
Source: RNAcentral
GUGGCCGUAGCUCAGUGGUAGAGCAGGAGGUUGUGACCCUCCCGUCCCGGAUUCGAUUUCCGGCGGUCACCCCA